AGGAAGAAUUUCUACAUUGAGACUAGUAAGUGUGAAUUAUGUGGUGAUGAACCUAAUGAACAUUUAAUGCAUCUGUUUUUUAGCUGUGAUUUCAGUCAAAACUUCUGGAUGAACAUUGGCUACCAAUGGAACACUGAUCAUAACCUCAUAGAAAUGCUCCUGGAGGGAAGGAAGCAAGAUACACAUGGAUGCUUUAAAGAAUGUCUGGUUGCUGGAUGCUGGAGUAUAUGGAAACACAGAAAUAGCAUAAUUUUUUACAACAAGGUCAAAAAUAUGACACUCUGUAUUGCCACUUUCAAGGAGCACAUUUGCAUGAUUAUAAAGAAGGCAAAACCAGGAUUGAAAGGGGGCAUGCAAAGCUAGCUAGAUCAUUUGUAG
This 378-nucleotide ribosomal RNA is filed under the name Triticum aestivum (bread wheat). RNAcentral describes it as "partial small subunit ribosomal RNA". Lineage: Eukaryota; Viridiplantae; Streptophyta; Magnoliopsida; Poales; Poaceae. The record is from RNAcentral.